AAUGCAAUCUUAUUUUAUGCUUUUGACAACCCUGGGAAAUAGGUUCAAUCGUUAUCUCUAUUUUUAUAGAUGAAGAAAAUGAGACAAGCAGAGGUUAAGUGACUUCUCCAGAGUCACAAAGCUAAUAAGUAUUUGAGGCUGGAUUUAAACUCAUCUUCCUGACUCUAGGCCCAAUGUUCUAUCCACUGUACCACCUAGUUUCCAGUGUCACUGAAGAAUUUAAAAUUGGGGUUCUAAAGGACAAUGGAAAGACACAUGCCACUGCUUGGACAGCUCCUACCAGUCUCCCAUCCAGGAUCCUGGAGCACAAACCCUCAGCCAUUUGGAGAAAUUAAAAGCUUCUAUGCUCACAAUACUCCUGGACAAAAGGAACUGAUACAGGAUAAAAUAAGCAGAACCAGGAAAAAUUGUACAAUGAUUAAAUGUGGAAACUUGCUUUUUCUCAACAAUGCAAUGAUCUGGGACAAUCCUGAAAGAACUGUUAGAGUUGGAUGAAUGUGGAUGAAAGCAUACUAUUAUUCACAUCAGUGUACUUAUGGUUAUAUUUUGGAAUUUUUCUUCUGUCUUAGUGUGAUUUUACAACAAUGAGCGAUAUUGAAAUAUGCUUUGCAUGAUAAUAAAUAUAAAAAAUUUAAAAAUAGUUAAAAUAUU
Molecule: long non-coding RNA, 651 nt
Filed under: Monodelphis domestica (gray short-tailed opossum)
Lineage: Eukaryota; Metazoa; Chordata; Mammalia; Didelphimorphia; Didelphidae
Description: lncRNA (ENSMODG00000033482.2)
Source: RNAcentral